UGCGCAGGCGGUCUUGCAAGUCAGAUGUGAAAGCCCCGGGCUUAACCUGGGAAUUGCGUUUGAAACUACAAGGCUAGAGUGCAGCAGAGGGGAGUGGAAUUCCAUGUGUAGCAGUGAAAUGCGUAGAGAUGUGGAAGAACACCGAUGGCGAAGGCAGCUCCCUGGGUUGACACUGACGCUCAUGCACGAAAGCGUGGGGAGCAAACAG
This 208-nucleotide ribosomal RNA is filed under the name uncultured Nitrosomonas sp. RNAcentral's name for it is "partial 16S ribosomal RNA". It matches the Rfam family "Bacterial small subunit ribosomal RNA", at positions 568 to 775 of the family's 1533-position model. Lineage: Bacteria; Pseudomonadati; Pseudomonadota; Betaproteobacteria; Nitrosomonadales; Nitrosomonadaceae. The record is from RNAcentral.